UCCGGCCUGAGAGGGUGAACGGACACACUGGAACUGAGACACGGUCCAGACUCCUACGGGAGGCAGCAGUAGGGAAUAUUGCUCAAUGGGGGAAACCCUGAAGCAGCAACGCCGCGUGGAGGAUGAAGGUUUUAGGAUUGUAAACUCCUUUUGUUAGAGAAGAUAAUGACGGUAUCUAACGAAUAAGCACCGGCUAACUCCGUGCCAGCAGCCGCGGUAAUACGGAGGGUGCAAGCGUUACUCGGAAUCACUGGGCGUAAAGAGCGCGUAGGCGGGAUAGUCAGUCAGGUGUGAAAUCCUAUGGCUUAACCAUAGAACUGCAUUUGAAACUACUAUUCUAGAGUGUGGGAGAGGUAGGUGGAAUU
Molecule: ribosomal RNA, 365 nt
Filed under: Helicobacter pylori
Lineage: Bacteria; Pseudomonadati; Campylobacterota; Epsilonproteobacteria; Campylobacterales; Helicobacteraceae
Description: bacterial SSU rRNA
Rfam family: Bacterial small subunit ribosomal RNA
Source: RNAcentral